GUCCACGCCGUAAACGAUGAGAACUAGAUGUUGGGGGUUGCCUCCCGGUGUCGCAGCUAACGCGUUAAGUUCUCCGCCUGGGGAGUACGCCGGCAACGGUAAAACUCAAAGGAAUUGACGGGACCCGCACAAGCGGUGGAGCAUGUGGUUUAAUUCGAUGCAACGCGAAGAACCUUACCUGCCCCUUGACAUACUCGGAACUUUCCAGAGAUGGAUUGGUGCCUUCGGGAGCCGAGAUACAGGUGCUGCAUGGCUGUCGU
RNAcentral lists this ribosomal RNA (260 nucleotides) under uncultured bacterium. RNAcentral's name for it is "partial 16S ribosomal RNA". It matches the Rfam family "Bacterial small subunit ribosomal RNA", at positions 793 to 1055 of the family's 1533-position model. The record is from RNAcentral.